Molecule: ribosomal RNA, 721 nt
Filed under: Rhizopus arrhizus
Lineage: Eukaryota; Fungi; Mucoromycota; Mucoromycetes; Mucorales; Rhizopodaceae
Description: Rhizopus oryzae partial large subunit ribosomal RNA
Rfam family: Eukaryotic large subunit ribosomal RNA
Source: RNAcentral
UUUACCCGGUUGGAAUUAAGCAUAUCAAUAAGCGGAGGAAAAGAAAAUAACAAUGAUUUCCCUAGUAACGGCGAGUGAAGAGGAAAGAGCUCAAAGUUGGAACCUGUUUGGCCUAGCUAAACCGGAUUGUAGACUGUAGAAGUGUUUUCCAGGCAAGCCGAGUAAAUAAGUCCUUUGGAACAGGGCAUCAUAGAGGGUGAGAAUCCCGUCUUUGGCUUGAGCAUUUGCCUUUUGUGAUACGCUUUCAAAGAGUCAGGUUGUUUGGGAAUGCAGCCUAAAUUGGGUGGUAAAUCUCACCUAAAGCUAAAUAUUGGCGAGAAACCGAUAGCGAACAAGUACCGUGAGGGAAAGAUGAAAAGAACUUUGAAAAGAGAGUUAAACAGUAUGUGAAAUUGUUAAAAGGGAACCGUUUGGAGCCAGACUGGCUUGUCUGUAAUCAAUCUAGGCUUCGGCCUGGAUGCACUUGCAGGCUAUGCCUGCCAACGACAAUUUGACUUGAGGGAAAAAACUAAGGGAAAUGUGGCCCACUUGUGGGUGUUAUAGUCCCUUAGAAAAUACCUUGGGUUGGAUUGAGGAACGCAGCGAAUGCUUUUUGGCGAGUUUUCCAGGAAGGUUUUCUGAGGUACUACGGUAUCAAGGUUGAUCUUUUUGGUUAUACUUCUAUUCGCUUAGGUUGUUGGCUUAAUGACUCUAAAUGACCCGUCUUGAACCAACGGGACCC